RNAcentral lists this ribosomal RNA (200 nucleotides) under uncultured bacterium. Its description in RNAcentral is "partial 16S ribosomal RNA". It matches the Rfam family "Bacterial small subunit ribosomal RNA", at positions 28 to 234 of the family's 1533-position model. The record is from RNAcentral.
GUUGAACGCUGGCGGCAGGCCUAACACAUGCAAGUCGAGCGCGAAAGUUCUUCGGAAUGAGUAAAGCGGCGGACGGGUGAGUAAUACAUGGGAAUCUGCCUGGUAGUGGGGGACAACGUUUCGAAAGGAACGCUAAUACCGCAUACGCCCUACGGGGAAAGGGGGGAGUCUUCGGACCUCUCGCUAUCAGAUGAGCCCAU